UACAGAGGGUGCGAGCGUUAAUCGGAAUUACUGGGCGUAAAGCGCGCGUAGGCGGCUUUGCAAGUCGAUUGUGAAAUCCCCAGGCUUAACCUGGGAACUGCAUUCGAGACUGCAUAGCUAGGGUAUGGGAGAGGGAAGUGGAAUUUCAGGUGUAGCGGUGAAAUGCGUAGAUAUCUGAAGGAACAUCAGUGGCGAAAGCGACUUCCUGGACCAAUACUGACGCUCAUGUGCGAAAGCGUGGGGAGCAAACAGG
Molecule: ribosomal RNA, 253 nt
Filed under: uncultured bacterium
Lineage: Bacteria
Description: partial 16S ribosomal RNA
Rfam family: Bacterial small subunit ribosomal RNA
Source: RNAcentral